RNA transcript from Hippoglossus stenolepis (Pacific halibut), 6264 nucleotides. It is a transcript of the gene named small nuclear RNA activating complex, polypeptide 4, with no coding region annotated. The record is from RefSeq and is a predicted model, not a curated record. NCBI's taxonomy places the organism in Eukaryota, Metazoa, Chordata, Actinopteri, Pleuronectiformes, Pleuronectidae. The transcript is spliced from 22 exons.
AACGCGCCGAGUCGGUAAGCGUUGAGUUUUUCCCCCCGAUGAGCUCAGUAUGUACUUCACUGUAUACUUAUCAAUACUUAGUAUAUAUAUAUAUAUAUAUAUAUGUAUUUAUAUAGUAAGUACACAGUGAAGUAAGGUGAGUAACAGUGAGACACGCGAGAGACGGCUGGUCGCCGCACGGCCUGCUGGGUAAUAUGUUAACGACAGAGAUGCGUUGAUUGGUGCUGAGCGGCGCGUGAGAAAGAAUAAAAUCAAAACAAAGUUUUAUUGAGGUAGGAGGAAGAGACGGAAACUACAGUCAUGUCUGUCUCUCUGUCUGAAGAGAGAGACAGGAUCCAGAGACAGGUGGAGGAGUUGGAGCAGAGUCUGUCUGUCUGUCUCUCUGAAACACACACUGAUCUACAGCUGCUGAGCAGUGAGACAGAUGAUGAAUCAGGAAGUGAUGACGAAGAGGACGAGUCUGCUGCAGGUCUGUUGGCUCAAAGAGAAAAAAUCCAGAAAGAGAUCGAGAACCUGGAGAACAAGCUAGGACCCCAGAGUCCUGUCUGUCUGUCAGAUGGUGAUAACAUCAUCAUCAGCAGUGAUGAGAGUGAGCUGGGUAUUUCUCUCUCUGUUGAGUCUUGUCUUCAGAUGAACCUGGUUUACCAGCAGGUGGUGCAGGAGACUCUGUGUCAGCUGGAGACACUACUGACACACAACAACAGACAACAGAGGGAACUUGUGUCUCAGUUGUCUGGACCAAUCAAAGAGCCUUCCAGAGAACAGCCGGCCCCCUCCUCCUACCAGCUGCCAAUCAACAUGUACCUGGGUCGCUUCCUGAAACCAUACUUCAAAGACAAACAGACCGGACUGGGUCCUCCAGCCAAUCAGGAGACGAAGGAGAAGAGCAGCAGGAUGAUAGGAUGUCUGGACGAAAAUAAAGUCAAGAUUAAACGAUGGGAGAGCUGGCAGAAGACUCUUCUGAUCGACUCAGUGUCCAGAGACAGUCUAAGGAGACUUGUCCAGCCCAAACUCUCCAGGGUGGACUACCUGAGUCAGAAGUUGUCGUCAGCAGAGGAGACAAACAGGCAGAAGCUCCGAGAGCAGAUCGACAGUUUGGAGAGAGAGAUUGACAAACUCAGGACGAAGGAGGAGGAGGAGCUGAUUGGUGAUCGAUACGAGGAACAUGACUGGGAAAAAAUCUCCAACAUUGAUUUUGAAGGGACGCGGGAGGCCGAUGACAUACAGUGUUUCUGGCAGAACUUCCUUCACCCGUCAAUCAGGAAGGUUGGAUGGAGUCAGGAGGAGGUGGAGCAGCUGAGAGACAUCAGCAGGAGACACCGAGAGAGACACUGGAAGAAGAUCGCUGAGGAGCUGGGGACGGGGAGGACAGCCUUCAUGUGUCUUCAGACUUUCCAGCGUUUUGUGUCAGACUCGUUGAGACGAGGCAGUUGGACGCCCAAUGAAGACGCUCUUCUCCGGGAUCUGGUGGACAAGAUGAGGAUCGGAAACUUUAUCCCCUACACUCAGAUGAGUUACUUCAUGGAGGGUCGUGACCCCCCUCAGCUGAUCUACAGGUGGAACCAGGUUCUGGACCCGAGCCUGAAGAAAGGCCUGUGGACCAAACAGGAAGACCAGCUUUUGUUGCGAGCUGUCUCACGUCACGGGGAGAAGAACUGGUGGAAGAUCCGGCUGGAGGUUCCUGGACGAACUGACAGCGCCUGCAGAGACAGGUAUCAUGACUGUCUGAAGUCGGGGACGAAGCGAGGAGCAUUUGACAAACAGGAGCAAGAGCUGCUGCUGCAGCUGGUGGAGAAAUAUGGCGUCGGUCGCUGGGCGAAGAUCGCCGCUGAGAUUCCUCAACGUUACGAUGCUCAGUGUCUGAGAGAAUGGAGGAAAGUGAGCAGACAGAGACUUUGUCCUGCUGAGAAAAAUAGAAAAGCUAAAAACCCACAAACAAGUGGAGAUGGAAAGAAGAGGAAGAAGGUAAACAUCAGGAGGAAAGUGAAGGAGGAGGAGCUGAGCAGUGAGGAGGAGCCGGAGGAGGAGGAGGUGGUGGAGUACAUGGACAGUGAUAAUGAUGAGAAGAAGAUGAAGGAGGAGGAGAAGGAGGAGGAGAAGGAGGAGGAGGAGGAGGUCGUUGAAGUGGAUAGGACUGCACAUGUAGAGGAUGAGGUGGAAGAGUACACCUGCCCUUCGAUGACUGAGUGGAUUCCAGAUGAUAAAGCAGAACAUUUCUCCUUCCUACACUUUAGACCAGUGUCGAUACCUUCUUCCUCCGAUGGCCACAGAGGGAAGCCAGUCCGCUCAACCAUCGUGGGUAAGUUUGGACGCUCUGUGAUCAUUGGACCAAAUCCACCAGAGCUGCAGUGGGAGGAGCGUCACAGAAGCAGCACCAUGAUGAUGGUGUCACCUGACCAGCUCCAAGCCCACCUGCACUACCAGGCGGCCGAGUGGAAAAAACGGGGCUUCCGGCCAAAAGGGAAACAGAUGGGCCGAUCCAUGGACAUGGUACUGAGGUACAAGCUCCAGGCUGCCGUGAUGCCCUGGAUUGGUAACCUGCUGAUCCCGACUCAAACCAGACUGACUGUGGCCGAUGCCCUGAGGGAACAAGGAGAGAAAACCAAGCUCUCCUCUACUCCUGUCUUCCAGCUGCUGCUGCAGACCAUGAACGUGGACGUCAUCGGGUGCAAGGAGAUGAUAGAGCAGAGGAAGAAGAAAGUGGUGUUUCCGACUCCGCCCCCAGACCCUUCGUCUGUCCGCAGGAAGGAUCCGCGCACUGUUGCAGGAAUCCUGCAGCAGAGGGAGCAGCAGAAGGAGUUAGACCUGCAGCACAAACUGAUCCUGACGCAGCUUCACACUCUGCAACAGCAGCAAAUGAUGCUCAAACAACCAUUCAGAACACAGCAAUUAGUUUAUCUGCACCAACCUCAGAAUCUACCCCCUCAGACUCUCCCUCCUAGCAUCCCGUCUCAGAAUCGUCCUGGUCUUCCUCAGAUGUCUCAUCUGUCAUUUCCUCAGAGUGUCUUCAUUCCUCAUCCUCUUCUCCAACCUCAGAAACCUCUUGCUCCCUCUUCCGACACAUCCCAUUUGUCUCCAUGCCGACCUCCUCCUGUGGGCGUCCUCACCUCUUCAUCUCCUCCUCUUCCUCCUGUCUCCAUGGUGCCGAUGCUCCAGAGUCCUAGCAGCUCCGCCUUAGUCCAGAAAAAGACUGUACCAUUGACUCAGAGCUUCAAAGUUGACCAGUCCUCUUCCCCUAACCCAGCUGUUUCAAUUGGUUCAACACUGGCCAAUCAACAAGCUGUUCCAUUCGUACUCCCAACCCUCGCCACCCGUCCUCUCCCUUCCUCCAGUGGUACGACAGGUGUGAAUGACGAAGGACGGAGGAAUCUGAAGCCGAGUCAAAGGGCCAGAGCUCUGAAGGAAGCUACUAAACCCAAGACUCAAAACAGGAAGAAAUCUGCUUCAUCCUCCCGAAAGAUGACUGAGACCCAGAAAACAAACUCUCCCCCUCAGACUGGGGUCCUCCCUCCUCCUCAGCAUCACACUGCAUUCUUAAGUUCAAGCUUAUCUGCUUCUUUCCACAGGGACCAUGACUACUUUAUUCAUACUAACCCCCCCCCAAGUCAACCAAGUCCUGCCCCCAAACGGCCAGACCCCAAACACUGUAAAUCUGACCCCGUCCCAGAGACGCCUCCCAAACAUCCCAGCAGAGGAAUAAAACGAAGGAGGCGGCAGGAGCAGGACGGGGUGACGAGCAGUCAGGAUGUCCAAUGUACAGAUGGGACAGGUGACCCCGGGGCCCAGGCUGAUACAGGUGCAACCCAGGAAGGAAAAAGGGUUCGGAAGCUAAGUCAGAAGGCCAGGGAGCUGCAGAAUGCGACUGUAGCCAAGGACGAAGCAAAAAAGAAGAGGAAGUCUUCUCCUUCAAAAACUCGCCCUCGUACGUCUCGCUCUAAAGAGGAAACUGUCGAUCACCCCGAGCAACCCACACUGCAUUUACUUCCUGGUCAGUCGAUAUGGGUCAUGACUCCUGGUGGUCUGGUCCAGCUCGCACUAGCCCCGCCCCAACCCCAUCAGCAGGCAUUAGUGCCGAACCCCACCUUUCCACCUCCACCUGGGAAUAGUCCAAGACACCAACUGGACACGCCUCCUCUGAGAUUCAAACCACCACCUGUACCAUAUGACCUGACCAUCCCCAUCAAUCUCCCUGCUCCACCCACUCAUCCUUCUAAGCCCCUGAAACCUGUCCCAAGCCCAGGUUUGUUCCCCCUCCGCUCCUGUUACCCUCAGACUCCUCCCAAAAUCUUCCUGCCCUAUAAGGGUGCAAUCAGAGUGGACGAGGCCGAGCCACCUCCCCUCAGGAGGGAGGCGCUUCAGUUCAACCCCUCACUGAUGUUCCUGGAGCCUCAGGAAGCAGUGCGUGAUUGGCUGAGUGGGCGGAGAGGGGUGGUGGUACCAGGAGCAGGCGUGGCUCUGCCCUACCUGCCGCCAUUUGCCAGCACUCUGAGCACGCUCAGUGCGCUGCUUCAGGCCAAAAACUCUUUGACCAAAUCAUCUCUGCAGCUGCUGCGUCAAGACUCUGAACCUCGGCACUGCCAAACCAAAAUCGUGUCUGACAACAGUUCAGAAAACACCUCCAGUCAGCUUCCACCCGACCUGCCAGACUCCACCUCUGACCUCAGACCAGCCGAGCAACCAGCAGCUCCCUCUGUCAGCUCUGACGUCCUGCAGGAGGAGAGAGGAGGAGGAGGAGGAGGAGGAGGUGCUUGUGGCGGCAGUGCGUGAGCUUGUGACAGAGCGUUUCUCUAGUAACCCCGCCUACCAGUUGUUGAAGGCCCGCUUCCUGUCACUCUUCACUGUCCCCGCCCUCCUUGCUACCAUCCAGCCAAUAACAGAGAAGACUGUGGCUCGCCCAGCCACUCAGGAGGAGGAUGAGGAGGAGGAAGAGGAGGAAGAAGUGGCAAAGCUGAAGAAAAUCAAAGAAAGGGGGCGACAGAGAGCACAGGGAUCUGUGCUGAUGUGUGACACGUCAGGAGCGCCAGCCAAUCACUUCUCAGGAAUCAACGCAUCCGCCGCUGACCAGAACCGGCCAGUAGAACCCUGAUCACACAGAUCUACGAUCACAUGUUCAGAUCAGUUCAAUGCUCCUCUUUAUCCUGGUUCAACAGCUGUUCAUCUGAAAUGAUCUGAUUUCUUCAGAUUCAUUUUGAGAUUAGUUUAAAAAAUGACUUUUCAUUAGAUGACAAAAAACAUUCCUACUCUCGUUCAGUUUUAGUUUUCGUUGUAACAUUAAAAAUCUUAAAACAUUUCAGAUCUGGUUUCAGAGCUCAUAGAUAACAACCAGUAAAAAUAAAUAUAAUACAAGAAAUAAAACCUUUAAUGUACUGACGAGAAUUUUAAAGAGUCAAAAAAAACAUGUCACUUUAAAAAAGAAAAAAUGUAGAUUUUCUGCAGUUGGAGAAAAGUAAAUCAGGUCAGAGCCUCAUGUUGCACUAAAAUAUGUUGAGAAGUUUUAAUUUACUUUGAAAUGUUUGAUGGUUUUGAGCUGAUGGUUUUGUAAUAAAGAAAGUUUACAUGAAGCAGUGUCUUCACACUUGUGACAACUGAUGUUUGACUUCGACUGUAACAACAAAGUGGACUGUGAGGACACACUGGACUGUGAGGACUCUGUAAGGACAUUGGACUGUGAGGACACAGUGGACUGUGAGGACUCUGUAAGGACAUUGGACUGUGAGGACACACUGGACUGUGAGGACUCUGUAAGGACAUUGGACUGUGAGGACACAGUGGACUGUGAGGACUCUGUAAGGCACAGUGGACUGUGAGGACUCUGUAAGGACACUGGACUCUGAGGACUGUAAGGACACACUGGACUGUGAGGACUCUGUAAGGACAUUGGACUGUCAGGACACAGUGGACUGUGAGGACUCUGUAAAGACACUGGACUGUGAGGACACUGGACUCUGAGGACUGUAUGAGACACACUGGACUGUGAGGACUCUGUAAGGACAUUGGACUGUGAGGACUCUGUAAGGACACUGGACUGUGAGGACACUAUGGACUGUGAGGACUCUGAAAGGACACUGGAAUGUGAGGACUCUGUAAGGGCACAGCACUGUAAGGACACUGGAAUGUGAGGACACUGGACUGUGAGGACACAGGUGACAUUUGGACCAUCCUGUUGGUUUCUGGUUUCUCCGUCCGUAACUUCUCAGUUUGACACAUUGUGCUUUUCUUGGUUUAAACGGAAAUGGUUUGUAUUUAUAAAGAUCUUUUCUCGUC